CCUACGGGAGGCAGCAGUGGGGAAUCUUGCACAAUGGAGGAAACUCUGAUGCAGCGAUGCCGCGUGAGUGAAGAAGGCCUUUGGGUUGUAAAGCUCUUUCGUCGGGGAAGAAAAUGACUGUACCCGAAUAAGAAGGUCCGGCUAACUUCGUGCCAGCAGCCGCGGUAAUACGAAGGGACCUAGCGUAGUUCGGAAUUACUGGGCUUAAAGAGUUCGUAGGUGGUUGAAAAAGUUAGUGGUGAAAUCCCAGAGCUUAACUCUGGAACUGCCAUUAAAACUUUUCAGCUAGAGUAUGAUAGAGGAAAGCAGAAUUUCUAGUGUAGAGGUGAAAUUCGUAGAUAUUAGAAAGAAUACCAAUUGCGAAGGCAGCUUUCUGGAUCAUUACUGACACUGAGGAACGAAAGCAUGGGUAGCGAAGAGGAUUAGAUACCCUCGUAGUCCAUGCCGUAAACGAUGUGUGUUAGACGUUGGAAAUUUAUUUUCAGUGUCGCAGGGAAACCGAUAAACACACCGCCUGGGGAGUACGACCGCAAGGUUAAAACUCAAAGGAAUUGACGG
This 558-nucleotide ribosomal RNA is filed under the name uncultured bacterium. RNAcentral's name for it is "bacterial SSU rRNA". It matches the Rfam family "Bacterial small subunit ribosomal RNA", at positions 338 to 916 of the family's 1533-position model. The record is from RNAcentral.